UUUUUUUGUUCGCUCAUCAAGAAUAGCUUGAGAAAAUUCCUUGUCCCCUUCCUUAAGUUGCCUUUCCUUUACAGCAGAAAGCAUUUCUUCUUCUUUCUUUAACAUUUCGAGUAGGUCGAAUGCCUUACAGAUGGACAAAGAAAUGGUAGUAAGCCAAGCCUCCCGUUCUUCUUCUCCAUCAUCAUCCGAUAAAUCCUCUUCACCAGCCUCAACUGGAGUUGAUAGGGCAGUAGCUCUAGUUGAACGACCACGUCGCUCUUUCUGCUCCUUUACUUCCAGCAGCUUUGCUUGAGCAGCUCUUU
RNAcentral lists this unclassified non-coding RNA (302 nucleotides) under Hevea brasiliensis (rubber tree). Lineage: Eukaryota; Viridiplantae; Streptophyta; Magnoliopsida; Malpighiales; Euphorbiaceae. The record is from RNAcentral.